This 442-nucleotide ribosomal RNA is filed under the name uncultured microorganism. RNAcentral's name for it is "bacterial SSU rRNA". It matches the Rfam family "Bacterial small subunit ribosomal RNA", at positions 9 to 441 of the family's 1533-position model. The record is from RNAcentral.
GAGUUUGAUCCUGGCUCAGGAUGAACGCUGGCGGCGUGCCUAAUACAUGCAAGUCGAGCGAACGGACGAGAAGCUUGCUUCUCUGAUGUUAGCGGCGGACGGGUGAGUAACACGUGGAUAACCUACCUAUAAGACUGGGAUAACUUCGGGAAACCGGAGCUAAAUACCGGAUAAUAUUUUGAACCGCAUGGUUCAAAAGUGAAAGACGGUCUUGCUGUCACUUAUAGAUGGAUCCGCGCUGCAUUAGCUAGUUGGUAAGGUAACGGCUUACCAAGGCACGAUGCAUAGCCGACUGAGAGGGUGAUCGGCCACACUGGAACUGAGACACGGUCCAGACUCCUACGGGAGGCAGCAGUAGGGAAUCUUCCGCAAAUGGGCAAAGCCUGACGGAGCAACGCCGCGUGAGUGAUGAAGGUCUUCGAAUCGUAAAACUCUGUUAUUA